AUUGAACGCUGGCGGCAUGCUUUACACAUGCAAGUCGAACGGCAGCACGGGUGCUUGCACCUGGUGGCGAGUGGCGAACGGGUGAGUAAUGCAUCGGAACGUGCCCAUGAGUGGGGGAUAGCCCGGCGAAAGCCGGAUUAAUACCGCAUACGCCCUUAGGGGGAAAGCGGGGGAGUCUUCGGACCUCGCGCUAUUGGAGCGGCCGAUGUCGGAUUAGCUAGUAGGUGAGGUAAAGGCUCACCUAGGCGACGAUCCGUAGCUGGUCUGAGAGGAUGAUCAGCCACACUGGGACUGAGACACGGCCCAGACUCCUACGGGAGGCAGCAGUGGGGAAUUUUGGACAAUGGGCGCAAGCCUGAUCCAGCCAUGCCGCGUGAGUGAAGAAGGCCUUCGGGUUGGUAAGACGUCUUUCUAGGUGG
RNAcentral lists this ribosomal RNA (419 nucleotides) under uncultured bacterium. RNAcentral describes it as "bacterial SSU rRNA". It matches the Rfam family "Bacterial small subunit ribosomal RNA", at positions 28 to 444 of the family's 1533-position model. The record is from RNAcentral.